This is a long non-coding RNA of Contarinia nasturtii (swede midge), 368 nucleotides long. RefSeq lists it as uncharacterized. Lineage: Eukaryota; Metazoa; Arthropoda; Insecta; Diptera; Cecidomyiidae. The record is from RefSeq and is a predicted model, not a curated record. The transcript is spliced from 3 exons.
UCAGUCAACUUAUCUUACUCUAAUGUUGAUCAUAUCGAUGGAGGUGAAAUAACGUUUCCAAUCACUGAUGAACAGGUCCAAUGCGGAAUGAAAAAUAUGCACACCUAAAAGAUUGGGAAUAUGCUGGGAAAAUUGGAUUUUUGUAAUAUUUUAGAAGUCAAUCCAAAAAUUGUGAAGUUCUCCCGGGAAAAAAACAAUGAGCGCUUGAUACUGCAGCUAAAGCAGCCUAUAAACUUGCCUAUAAACUUGCCCGAAGACCUCGAAUACAAGUAUGGCAAAGAGUUUACUAAAUAUGGGGCGAAUCACGCUAGUGAAUACUAGAAAAACUAGUAAAUCUAGUGCGAAGAAUGACGUCACAAACGAAGCCA